CCUAUACAUGCAAUCGAACGAAGCCUUUAUGGCUUAGUGGUGAACGGGUGAGUAACACGUAUCCAAUCUGCCCUUAAGUUUGGGAUAACUGGUCGAAAGACUAGCUAAUACCAAAUAAUAACAACGUUUCGCAUGAGAUGUUGUAGAAAGUUGCGUUUGCAACGCUUUUGGAUGAGGGUGCGACGUAUCAGAUAGUUGGUGAGGUAACGGCUCACCAAGUCGAUGACGCGUAGCUGUACUGAGAGGUAGAACAGCCACAAUGGGACUGAGACACGGCCCAUACUCCUACGGGAGGCAGCAGUAGGGAAUUUUUCACAAUGGGCGCAAGCCUUAUGAAGCAAUGCCGCGUGAACGACGAAGGUCUAUACGAUUGUAAAGUUCUUUUAUUUGGGAAGAAUGUCUAGAAUAGGAAAUGAUUCUAGUUUGACUGUACCAUUUGAAUAAGUAUCGGCUAACUAUGUGCCAGCAGCCGCGGUAAUACAUAGGAUGCAAGCGUUAUCCGGAUUUACUGGGCGUAAAACGAGCGCAGGCGGAUUCGUAAGUUUGGUAUGAAAUCUAGAUGCUUAACGUCUAGCUGUAUCAAAAACUACGAAUCUAGAGUAUAGCAGAGAGUUGGGGAACUCCAUGUGGAGCGGUAAAAUGCGUAGAUAUAUGGAAGAACACCGGUGGCGAAGGCGCCAACUUGGACUAGCACUGACGCUUAGGCUCGAAAGUGUGGGGAGCAAAUAGGAUUAGAUACCCUAGUAGUCCACACCGUAAACGAUCAUCAUUAAAUGUCGGCUCGAUUAAGAGUCGGUGUUGUAGCUAACGCAUUAAAUGAUGUGCCUGGGUAGUACAUUCGCAAGAAUGAAACUCAAACGGAAUUGACGGGGACCCGCACAAGUGGUGGAGCAUGUUGCUUAAUUUGACGAUACACGUAGAACCUUACCUAGGUUUGACAUCUAUUGCAAAGCUAUAGAAAUAUAGCGGAGGUUAACAAUAUGACAGGUGGUGCAUGGUUGUCGUCAGCUCGUGUCGUGAGAUGUUGGGUUAAGUCCCGCAACGAGCGCAACCCCUUUCGCUAGUUAAUUUAUCUAUCGAUACUGCUACCGCAAGGUAGAAGAAAGGUGGGGAUGACGUCAAAUCAUCAUGCCCCUUAUAUCUAGGGCUGCAAACGUGCUACAAUGGCUAAUACAAACAGCUGCAAAACCGUAAGGUCAAGCGAAUCUGAUAAAGUUAGUCUCAGUUCGGAUUGAGGGCUGCAAUUCGCCCUCAUGAAGUUGGAAUCACUAGUAAUCGCGAAUCAGACAUGUCGCGGUGAAUACGUUCUCGGGUCUUGUACACACCGCCCGUCAAACUAUGGGAGCCGGUAAUAUCUGAAACCGUACUGUUAACCCUUUGGGAGGCAUACGUCUAG
RNAcentral lists this ribosomal RNA (1396 nucleotides) under Ureaplasma sp. RNAcentral's name for it is "bacterial SSU rRNA". It matches the Rfam family "Bacterial small subunit ribosomal RNA". Lineage: Bacteria; Bacillati; Mycoplasmatota; Mycoplasmoidales; Mycoplasmoidaceae. The record is from RNAcentral.